Molecule: ribosomal RNA, 426 nt
Filed under: Triticum aestivum (bread wheat)
Lineage: Eukaryota; Viridiplantae; Streptophyta; Magnoliopsida; Poales; Poaceae
Description: partial small subunit ribosomal RNA
Source: RNAcentral
AUGACUCCAUGUAGCUGCGCUAUGCUACCCCCGUGCUCCGUCGAUUUCAAACUCUCAUGUGUGCACUGCCUUGAAUCAACCCUGCGCCAUAAUCUUGUCGAAGCCGCACAAGCCCUCAGGGCCUGCGCCACGUGUUUCCACGCCCAAAAGUCGGUCACCAUCAGCAUCACUGUCGCCGAUCCCACACCGUCUUCUGUUCCAACCGACUCACGUCGAUCCGUCAGACUAUCUAGUCCGACCCAGCCAAACUUGUUCGACUGCAACGACACACUCGAGGCUUCCAAAUCGUCUUCCAUGAAUUUCCAUCCAUCACAUGAUAAUUCCAUCUUAGCUGGCAUGACUUCCCGCAACGCUUUCAAGCAUCUCUGUGGUGCCAACAAUUUUUUCAUUCGUGUCUGCCAUAACCCAAGGUUUUCAGUUCCGUGA